GCCUAUGGCCAUACCACCCUGAAAGCGCCCCAUCUCGUCUGAUCUCGGAAGGUAAGCAGGGGAGGGCCUGGUUAGUACCUGGAUGGGAGACCGCCUGGGAAUACCAGGUGUUGUAGGGU
Ribosomal RNA from Xenopus tropicalis (tropical clawed frog), 119 nucleotides. The record is from Ensembl. NCBI's taxonomy places the organism in Eukaryota, Metazoa, Chordata, Amphibia, Anura, Pipidae.